Molecule: ribosomal RNA, 474 nt
Filed under: uncultured bacterium
Lineage: Bacteria
Description: bacterial SSU rRNA
Rfam family: Bacterial small subunit ribosomal RNA
Source: RNAcentral
GGAUUAGGCAUGCAAGUCGAGCGAGAAGAGUUUUGAAGCUUGCUUUAGAACUCGGACAGCGGCGAAAGGGAGAGUAACGCGUAGUUAUGUGCCCUAGGGUCCGGAAUAGCCACGGGAAACUGUGGGUAAUGCCGGAUAACAUCCCCGGAUCAAAGGUGUGAUUCCGCCCUAGGAGCAGACUGCGUCCUACUAGCUAGUUGGUGGGGUAAUGGCCCACCAAGGCAAUGAUGGGUAGCGGGUGUGAGAGCAUGACCCGUCUCACUGGGACUGAGACACUGCCCAGACACCUACGGGUGGCUGCAGUCGAGAAUCUUCGGCAAUGGGCGAAAGCCUGACCGAGCGAUGCCGCGUGCGGGAUGAAGGCCCUCGGGUUGUAAACCGCUGUCGUAGGGGAGGAAGGUUCCGUGAAGAGCGGAAUUUGACCUAUCCUAGGAGGAAGUACGGGCUAAGUUCGUGCCAGCAGCCGCGGUAAUA